GACGAACGCUGGCGGCGUGCUUAACACAUGCAAGUCGAACGGAAAGGCCCUGCUUUUGUGGGGUGCUCGAGUGGCGAACGGGUGAGUAACACGUGAGUAACCUGCCCUUGACUUUGGGAUAACUUCAGGAAACUGGGGCUAAUACCGGAUAGGAGCUCCUGCGGCAUGGUGGGGGGUGGAAAGUUUCGGCGGUUGGGGAUGGACUCGCGGCUUAUCAGCUUGUUGGUGGGGUAGUGGCUUACCAAGGCUUUGACGGGUAGCCGGCCUGAGAGGGUGACCGGCCACAUUGGGACUGAGGUACGGACCAGACUCCUACUGGAGGCAGCAGUGGGGAAUAUUGCACAAUGGGCGGAAGCCUAAUGCAGCAACGCCGCGUGCGGGAUGACGGCCUUCGGGUUGUAAACCGCUUUCGCCUGUGACGAAGCGUGAGUGACGGUAAUGGGUAAAGAAGCACCGGCUAACUACGUG
Molecule: ribosomal RNA, 468 nt
Filed under: uncultured bacterium
Lineage: Bacteria
Description: partial 16S ribosomal RNA
Rfam family: Bacterial small subunit ribosomal RNA
Source: RNAcentral